CCUCCUCCCCCUCCCUCCCCUCCCACCCCUCCCCCCCGGACCUGGUUUACGACACUGGGUGGUUUUACUUUUACAUCACCUUCCUACACCUAGUUCUCGGCCGGAACCUUGUUGCCAGGGGAGACGGGUGCUUUACGGCAGCACGUUUGAACGGGGAAGAGGGAAAAGUUCCUGCCGCAGGUGCCGGGAUGUGGCCUUGAGGAAUACCCCAUACACACUGGCUGAGCGUCUCUGCCAGGAAGGUGAGAUGACAAGACACAUGGGAGAGGAGAAAGUCACGAGCAUCCCAAUGAUUUGAGGGAUAAAUCUGGUUGGAGGAAUUUUCUUUUAUAGGAUUUGUGGAACUUUAAUUUAAAGUAUGUAAACUCUGAUGGUUCUUUAUCAACUUUAAGCAGUAAACAUCUUUUUUUCUGUGAGAAAUGACUUUAGAGUCUCUUGGGAAUUUGAUAUGGUAAAAGAUUUGAUUCAUUUUGGGACCUUUGCAUCAACUAGCUUUGGGGAAGCAAUAGAAUCUACUUUCCUAAUCCAAUCAGCCUUUGG
This is a long non-coding RNA of Mauremys mutica (yellowpond turtle), 540 nucleotides long. RefSeq lists it as uncharacterized. Lineage: Eukaryota; Metazoa; Chordata; Testudines; Geoemydidae. The record is from RefSeq and is a predicted model, not a curated record. The transcript is spliced from 3 exons.